CUUUAUUCAUUUUUGGUUUCACAACCAUUACAUUGAGUUUAAACAUACUGUCAGAAACAUAACCUUUUUCCGACAAACAUUCCAUUUUUUGACAGAAUGACUUUGUCUGACUCAAAAACAAAGCGGAAACCAUGCUUAUUCAAAAGCGACCCGAACACUAAAUUCUUGUGAAUUUCCGGCACAUAAAGCAUAUUGUUAAGAGUCAGCUCCUUUCCCGAGGUCAUCUUCAGAACCACUUUUCCUUGACCCUUGAUUUCAGAAGUUGCUGAAUUUCCCAUAAACAAUUUCUCCCCAUUCUCAACAGCUUCGAACGUAUCAAACAUCUUUUUAUCAGAGCACACAUGCCUUGUAGCACCGAUGUCAAUCCACCACUCUUUAGGGUUUGAACCCACCAUGUUUACUUCAGAAAUGACUGCUGCGAGAUUCAGCUUCGACACAUCUUGUGCCAUGUAGUCAACCACGUUCGCUUCUUUCUUCUUCUCGAUAAUCUGCACUCCGAAGACUUGUGACCCACUUUGUCACAAUUGAAGCAUUUCCCUUGAAAUUUCUUCUUGACAAUUCCACCUUUCGGUCCUUGCUUGGUUCUUUUGUUACCGGAUGGUCCAAACUUGUUUUUGUAGUUCUUACUACUUUGACCAAGCUCCACAACAUUGGCUUUGGCCACACCAGGAUUGAACCACUUCUUCUCGGAACUCUUGUUAUCUUCUUCGAUUCGAAGUCUGACAACGAGUUCUUCGACAUUCAUUUCCUUUCGUUUGUGUUUCAAAUAGUUCUUGAAAUCUUUCCACGCGGGAGACAAUUUUUCUAUAAUUGCAACCACUUGAAAAGUUCUACUUAACAUCAUUACUUCGGCAUGAAUUUCGUGAAGGAUCACUUGGAGUUCUUGCACUUGACUGAUAACAGUUUUGAAGUCCACCAUCUUAUAGUCUAAGAAUUUGUCGACUAUAAACUUUUUAACCCCAGCAUCCUUAAUUUUGUAUUUCUGGCCCAAGGACUCCUACAAUUCCUUAGUAGUUUUCAUGGUGCUACAUACAUUGUACAUCACAUCUGCUAGGUUGUUCAUGAUAUAAUUUCGACACAGAAAGUUCGAAUGCUUCCAAGCAUCAAGUACACUCAAUGCUUGCACAUCUCCCUCUCCCUCAUUAAGCUUUGGAGUAGUUUCAGUCAAGAAUCUCGCAAGAUUCAAGGUGGUCAAGUAAAAAAGCAUUUUCUGCUACCAUCUUUUGAAAUUCAAGCCAUUGAAUUUUUUCGAUUUUUCUCCAUGAUUAACCGGAACAAUUACAGUUUGGCCAGUUAGCUCACAACAUGACUUGACAUUCUAACCACAGUCUGAGCCACAACGGAACUUGGCCCUUGAGCCACAUUAGAACCCACAGCCUGACUUCCAACGAGAACAUUUUGGGUCACAUCCAUGUUUGAUUCGGUUGCCAUUUCUGAAAACAAACCAAAUAUUAGUUCCAAGAAACUCAAUUCAAUGAAACCAAAAAAAAAAAAAAACGACUCUUGUUUUUUAAAACCAAAUAUUAGUUUCAAG
Molecule: long non-coding RNA, 1534 nt
Filed under: Olea europaea subsp. europaea
Lineage: Eukaryota; Viridiplantae; Streptophyta; Magnoliopsida; Lamiales; Oleaceae
Source: RNAcentral